RNAcentral lists this ribosomal RNA (500 nucleotides) under uncultured bacterium. RNAcentral describes it as "partial 16S ribosomal RNA". It matches the Rfam family "Bacterial small subunit ribosomal RNA", at positions 30 to 523 of the family's 1533-position model. The record is from RNAcentral.
AUUGAACGCUGGCGGCAUGCCUUACACAUGCAAGUCGAACGGCAGCACGGGAGCAAUCCUGGUGGCGAGUGGCGAACGGGUGAGUAAAGUAUCGGAACGUGCCCAGUCGUGGGGGAUAACGUAGCGAAAGUUACGCUAAUACCGCAUACGAUCUAUGGAUGAAAGCGGGGGAUCGCAAGACCUCGCGCGAUUUGAGCGGACGAUAUCAGUUUAGGUAGUUGGUGGGGUAAAGGCUCACCAAGCCGACGAUCUGUAGCUGGUCUGAGAGGACGACCAGCCACACUGGGACUGAGACACGGCCCAGACUCCUACGGGAGGCAGCAGUGGGGAAUUUUGGACAAUGGGCGAAAGCCUGAUCCAGCCAUGCCGCGUGCAGGAUGAAGGCCUUCGGGUUGUAAACUGCUUUUGUACGGAACGAAAAGGUUUGGGCUAAUAAGCUGAGCUCAUGACGGUACCGUAAGAAUAAGCACCGGCUAACUACGUGCCAGCAGCCGCGGUAA